Molecule: ribosomal RNA, 554 nt
Filed under: Moschus chrysogaster (alpine musk deer)
Lineage: Eukaryota; Metazoa; Chordata; Mammalia; Artiodactyla; Moschidae
Description: partial 16S ribosomal RNA
Rfam family: Bacterial large subunit ribosomal RNA
Source: RNAcentral
UAUUGGAGGCCCUGCCUGCCCAGUGCCAUCGUUAAACGGCCGCGUUAUCCUGACCGUGCAAAGGUAGCAUAAUCAUUUGUUCUCUAAAUAAGGACUUGUAUGAAUGGCCACACGAGGGUUCUACUGUCUCUUACUUCCAAUCAGUGAAAUUGACCUUUCCGUGAAGAGGCGGAAAUAAACUAAUAGGACGAGAAGACCCUAUGGAGCUUUAACUAACUAGUCUAAGGAAAAUAAAUAUAACCAUCAAGGGAUAACAACACUCUUAAUAGACUAGCAGUUUUGGUUGGGGUGACCUCGGAGAACAAAAAAUCCUCCGAACGAUCUUAAAGACUAGACUAACAAGUCAAAUCACACUAUCGCUUAUUGAUCCAAAGAAAUUUGAUCAACGGAACAGGUUACCCUAGGGAUAACAGCGCAAUCCUAUUCAAGAGUCCAUAUCGACAAUAGGGUUUACGACCUCGAUGUUGGAUCAGGACACCCAGAUGGUGCAACCGCUAUCAAAGGUUCGUUUGUUCAACGAAUAAAGUCCUACGUGAUCUGAGUUCAAACCGGAG